This is a long non-coding RNA of Choloepus didactylus (southern two-toed sloth), 696 nucleotides long. RefSeq lists it as uncharacterized. The record is from RefSeq and is a predicted model, not a curated record. Lineage: Eukaryota; Metazoa; Chordata; Mammalia; Pilosa; Megalonychidae. The transcript has 3 exons.
UAAAGCCCCUCUGGCUUUUCAUCCGUUUUCUGUCUUUGGGGGGCCCAGAGCUUUUCUCUGCCGAGUGCCUCUAGCAUUAGCCAUCCUCAGUCGGCUACACAGCACCAGGGAGAGUUUGCUUUUGCACAUCAGCAUUCGCAGCAACGCCUGUUUAAACCGUGUCACCCGUUCCCUGGCAUCUUCGAUCCACUUACAUCUGGGCUGAGAAUCGGGGCCGCCUCGUGGACAUCCAAGCAAGCUGGACCCACGCUCAGAAGCUGCCUGAACUUGGGCUUCCACGCAACGUGCACCCUUGAGAUUCUUCACGACUUGCCUCUGGAUUUGGUUUGUAGCCGCCUGGACUCUGCGGCCCUCACCUGCCACCGGGAAUGCCUGUGCAGACCUUUGGGACAGUUACCUAAGCCCCUCACGCAGCCAGGGGUGGGGUCCUGGAGCCCCCACGAGAAGCCUUCGUGGGUCCACUCGGCUUUGCACUACGUUUAUACCUCACUGGCCGGACUCACUGAGACCUUAUCACUGGCCCACAUCUGUGCCACUUGUCCUCAUGGAGCAUCACUCCAAGUGCCACCGCCAGCCCACCACACCCCAAAUGCAACCCCAGCCCAGUGGGUCAGAACCACCAGGACACACGUCUCCAGCCACAGCUCCUCCCCCAGUGGCCGGCCGAGUGGCCCCGCUGCUGACCCUGGUCUCCCU